This is a long non-coding RNA of Oxyura jamaicensis (ruddy duck), 1684 nucleotides long. RefSeq lists it as uncharacterized. NCBI's taxonomy places the organism in Eukaryota, Metazoa, Chordata, Aves, Anseriformes, Anatidae. The transcript has 2 exons. The record is from RefSeq and is a predicted model, not a curated record.
UUAUUUUCAGUCUUGAGUCUUCUAUAACAUCUACUGUUAGCCUGCUUCUUCGUUUUCCUUUUUAGAUUCAGUCAUUCUGGAACUAAGUUAUUGAUAAAAGGUAGGGUAACUCUUAGGAAGAAGGAUGAAGAUAAAAGCCAGAAACAAAAGUUUGGGAGAUUGGUGAGAUAAAAUAUGUUCAGCAAUUACUAUUCCCAGUGUCCUGCUAUAAUGUCCUUAGUGAUAGCAAGGUCCACGUUCUCUGAAAUACUAGAAACUGUCUGAGAAUUUGGCCUGGGAGGAAUGUAACUUUUAGGAGCAAAAAUACUUGAAGGUAAAGAUUGAGAAGUGAAGUUGGACGGGCAGUGCAAAGGUAGAGCCUCUCCAGAGGACUGGUCCGGUAGGGGAGAGCCCACACCUUUUGCCUCCACUCCCCUCGAGUUCGGAGGCCAUCCCGUGCAUCCUCAUGCAUGCAUUGCAGGAGGAUUUUAAUCUGAAGAAUCACACUUUCUUGGGAACAAACCUGGGCAGCUGGACACGAUUUCUGAGCUGGCCAAGACUCGCUGAGAUCAACUGAGACACCUUCUGUACAUUUGUGGCUUUCUUUUUUUAUUUUUUUUGUGGUACGUUGCCAACAUGGCCUGGAUCGUUGAUAGUUCUCUGUAAGAUACUGUAGCACUUCCCCUGGUGACAAGAACCUGGCUUAAAAAUGCAGCCAUUUUUCAGAUUUAAUUUAUUUUUACCGCAAGGAACAGAGCAUAUCUCAUAGCACAGAAUAGGCAGGAGUAAAUCCUCGUUUGUCUGCUGAAUUAUCUUGGUUAUGAGCCAGGGCUGAGACCCUCCUGGUAGUGCUGCUGCCGUGCGGCUGGCUCACCGCUGGAGGACAUCGUUUCAGUGCCGGGUAGCUCCGGGUGAGAGAUCCUUGUCCCUAGGAUAGGAGAAGGGGCAGGGGUGGCUUGGUUUCUGUGCUGAGUGGCUGUGAGUCCUUCCAUCUGUGUUGCGCCUUGCCAUGAGCCUGUUGGUGACUCGCAGGGUUUUUGCCAGCUUCAGCAAUGGGUCUGAUGGGAGCUCCUAUCUGAGAGCCCCCCUGAACUGCCCAGCGCUGCUGGCCUCUGCUUUUUUUCCACUAAAAGGUAUCAAGACAGAAUUGCCUUAGCUCUGCAUGGGCUUUCAGCAUUUUUUGGCCUUACCUGAAAUCCUUUGCUAAGUCCCACCCCACCGCAGCCAUUUAUCAAGUUAUUCUGUUUAGCUCCAUCCUUCCUUUCCUUGAGACUUUUGGUCACCUGAAGAGGCUUCUCCUUCUCUCUCCCUACAAAUACUUGAGAUAAUUGAAAGACAAUUUGCUCUGAUUGUUUCACAGCUGCUCUAGGCCAAAGAGCAAAUCUCUGUCCUGAUCUCCUGCUGGCUGGUGUUAAGUACUUGCAUCAUCUUGGGUACUUCAGCUGUUAGUCCAUAUGGAUGUGCUCUGACUUGAAAUGCUGAGGGGUGCUAAAGAAAGGAGAGGCAGGAUCCCCGCAGGGAGCCCGCACGAAGCCAUAUGCCGGUAUUUCUGGGUAUCUGGUGCCCCCUGGAGACUGCUGCUGCCCGAAGAAAUGCAACCAGUAUCGGGACCACACGUAAAUAGAUGACCCUAGCCUGAACAGGCUGACGAACAGUAGGAACUGUGUUCUCCCAGCAGAAGUGGAGAAUACUAGAAAAGCCAGUC